RNAcentral lists this long non-coding RNA (1229 nucleotides) under Gallus gallus (chicken). RNAcentral describes it as "lncRNA (ENSGALG00010025934.1)". The record is from RNAcentral. Lineage: Eukaryota; Metazoa; Chordata; Aves; Galliformes; Phasianidae.
CAUUUAAGGACUGACAGCCACUCUUGAAGGAGCUCUGGUUGCAGUUUUCUCUUUUGUGGACUUUUCCCUGUGAGCCUAUAUCUUUAGAGACAGGCACCUAAAACACAGUUGGCAGCUGAAGGUGGACUGCAGCAGACUGCCUGGUCAUGGCACCUGCCUCCUUAUCCAGACCUACACACAGACAGUCUCUCCUGGAGCCAGCCAGUGAGGCUAGAGGCACUUGGGUAGAGAUUAGCCCAGGCCCUUAGGGGGAAAGCUCAGCUGUCACAAACCUGGGUCUGAAAAACUGAUUGUUUUGCAUGAUCAUUCUCACCUGUGAUCCUGCAGAUCACUGCUCACUCAGGAUGAGAGCUAUCAGCCCUAUAGCCUUCUGUAGGGAUGUUAAAAUUGUUGUCUCACAUGCAAGUAGGAGGGUGGCAUGCAGGAAGUGCCACACUUGUUUUAAGGGCAGUGGAUGUACCCUGCUAGAGACCACCAUUAGAGUUUUAACUUCAAGCUUCAUCAGGCACCAUGUGGAAGCUACAAGUAAUCUUGCUCAUUCUAGUGGAGAGCUGCUGUGCUUAACGAAAACUCCAGUCAACAACUUGAACAAAAAGAUAGGACCUCUCUCAGAAAGAAAUGGGCUGAGAUACUGAAUCAGUCAUUGCAAGAUUUUCUUGCCUUAUAAAGUGAUUUUUUAAAAUUGCCUAUUCAUUUUUGUAAAGCACUGUGGUUGGAUGUGCUGGACAAAUCGUGUCUUACUCAGUGCAACCAGCAAACAUGGAAAAAAAUUAGGAACAAGUGCUCCAUGCAACAGCAUACCACUGGGAGAGUCCCCCAAGAACAUCCUGAAAAAUGAAGACCAGCUGGGGAGCCUACAGAGAAUGAAGGCUUGUGUAACAAGAGGCCCUUGGAGGAUAGAGAAAGACCUUGUCCCUGCUUCAGGCUGUGAAGGGUAGUACUUGAAGAAUGCAAAUUAUUAACAUCUGCAUGAUGUGGAGGCUCAGACUUUUCAGAGGAGAGGGAUGGGAGACCGAUGUAUUCAUAUGCAAUAGAAUCCUUCCCUCACAUGGCACAAGCUUGAACACAAUUGCAGCCCUCAUGCAGGCUGUGUUUGUGGAGGUGCCUGAAAGUAGAGAUAAAAACCUCCUGUGCUUUGUCUCUUUGAGGACAAGAGAUAAAUAGGUGAAUGAUGUCACUCCUCUUCUGUGACAGGUAACCACAUUCCUCUUUAUAAUACUGUCAAUCUC